Molecule: small nuclear RNA, 100 nt
Filed under: Castor canadensis (American beaver)
Lineage: Eukaryota; Metazoa; Chordata; Mammalia; Rodentia; Castoridae
Source: RNAcentral
GUGCUUACUUGGGCAGCCCUGAAGUUGGAAUGAUACAGAAAGAUUAGUAUAGACCCUGCACAAGGAUGACACACAAAUUUUCAAGUUGUUGCAUAUUUUU